CCGCCGUGAGGGACCGUUUGCGCCGCUCGAACUGCUCCUCACCGCGGUGCUGGAUGCUGCUGUUAAACUCUCCUGUUUGCUGUUUCUCUCGUGGUUUAUUUGUACUUUAAAAGUAGUCAGGAUGCGUUUUUUUCCCCGCCUUCUGACGCGUGGGAAGCAAAGCCGAUGGUUCGUGUCUAACAGCUGAAGGAGAACAGCCGCGCGAGCUGCGGGUCAAACUGCGUCCAACAGCAAAAGGGACCAUUCGGAGUCUGAAUGAAACCAGAAAUUCCAUAUUUCAAAGGUGAUGAGAAAGAAAAACCUCCUGGAAGCUAACUGUUGGAUAUGGGAUGAUGAGGACCAAGAUAAUUGAAUCAACAGAAAAAGUGAAGUUAUCAUCUGGAAAGGCAAGAGCUGAGCUGGUGUAGCAACAGAUGACCCUUGUAAAGCCUCCAGGGUUCACACAGGGAGCUCUGUAACUCCCUCAGGCAGGAGGAGCACAGUCCCAGUGCGAGGCUGCAGAUGCACAGAGCCUAAGCCUAUGGAUAUCGAGGAGCCAUUUAGUCACAUCCAGGCUAAAUUCACACAUCGUUCCAGACUGAGGCUUUUCCUGUGAUCUUCAACUAAAAAGUUUCACUUAGUCUGUGAAAUGACUCCAGGGUUUUUUUUUACAUAUAUGCUACCAGGACAGAUGGUUAAACCUACGGAGUGUGGAAGGCAGCUCAUACUUGCAGCAGUCAUAGUCCAGAAAUGAAGGACACAAUUUUCUGAAUGCCUGGGGCAGUUCUUGGCUAUCCAAGAGUUUUGCCUUUUUCUAAUAAGGAAUUACUUAAUCUGUUACACAAAUUGGUAACUAUAUUGACCAUGCAAGGUCUGCAAUUCUUUUUACAGUUUAGCUUUUAAUUGAAAAAGAUAUCAAGCAUGCAAUAAUAGCAGAAGGCAUUCACUUACCCUAUGACAAUGCAGGAGAUGGCAGUUCCCAAGAAGGCGUAGGUUAAAAUCGAUCCUAAGUUACGAAAAAAAUGUCUCUGGAGAGAAAAAUUUGAAAAAAAGUCCUUUGU
This is a long non-coding RNA of Neopelma chrysocephalum (saffron-crested tyrant-manakin), 1040 nucleotides long. RefSeq lists it as uncharacterized. The record is from RefSeq and is a predicted model, not a curated record. The transcript has 6 exons. Lineage: Eukaryota; Metazoa; Chordata; Aves; Passeriformes; Pipridae.